UGCGCAGGCGGAAGAUUAAGUCGGUGGUGAAAUUUUGCAGCUCAACUGUAAAAGUGCCAUUGAUACUGGUUUUCUUGAGUGUGGAUGAAGUAGGCGGAAUUUGUGGUGUAGCGGUGAAAUGCAUAGAUAUCACGAGGAACUCCGAUUGCGCAGGCAGCUUACUAAACCAUAACUGACGCUCAGGCACGAAGGCGUGGGGAUCAAACA
Molecule: ribosomal RNA, 207 nt
Filed under: uncultured Porphyromonadaceae bacterium
Lineage: Bacteria; Pseudomonadati; Bacteroidota; Bacteroidia; Bacteroidales; Porphyromonadaceae
Description: partial 16S ribosomal RNA
Rfam family: Bacterial small subunit ribosomal RNA
Source: RNAcentral